GAUGAAGAACGCAGCGAAAUGCGAUACGUAAUGUGAAUUGCAGAAUUCAGUGAAUCAUCGAAUCUUUGAACGCAUAUUGCGCUCUCUGGUAUUCCGGAGAGCAUGCUUGUUUGAGUAUCAGUAAACACCUCAACUCCCUUUUCUUUUUUGAAAUUGGAGCUGGACUUGAGUGAUCCCAACGCUUUUCCUCACCGAAAAGUGGCGGGUUACUUGAAAUGCAGGUGCAGCUGGACUUUUCUCUGAGCUAUAAGCAUAUCUAUUUAGUCUGCCUAAAAAACAGAUUAUUACCUUUGCUGCAGCUAACAUAAAGGAGAUUAGUUCUUGUGCUGACUGAUGCAGGAUUCACAAAGACGGCUUCGGCCGACUUUGUAAACUCGAUCUCAAAUCAAGUAAGACUACCCGCUGAACUUAAGCAUAUCAAUAAGCGGAGGA
RNAcentral lists this unclassified non-coding RNA (432 nucleotides) under soil metagenome. RNAcentral's name for it is "partial contains 5.8S ribosomal RNA, internal transcribed spacer 2, and large subunit ribosomal RNA". The stretch from base 1 to 120 matches the Rfam family "5.8S ribosomal RNA", at positions 35 to 154 of the family's 154-position model. The record is from RNAcentral.